RNAcentral lists this ribosomal RNA (612 nucleotides) under uncultured bacterium. RNAcentral's name for it is "bacterial SSU rRNA". It matches the Rfam family "Bacterial small subunit ribosomal RNA", at positions 338 to 951 of the family's 1533-position model. The record is from RNAcentral.
CCUACGGGAGGCAGCAGUAAGGAAUAUUGGUCAAUGGACGAAAGUCUGAACCAGCCAUGCCGCGUGAAGGAUGAAGGCCCUCUGGGUUGUAAACUUCUUUUAUCUGGGACGAAAAAAGCUCAUUCUUGAGCACUUGACGGUACCAGAGGAAUAAGCACCGGCUAACUCCGUGCCAGCAGCCGCGGUAAUACGGAGGGUGCAAGCGUUAUCCGGAUUCACUGGGUUUAAAGGGUGCGUAGGUGGGUCUGUAAGUCAGUGGUGAAAUCUCCGAGCUUAACUCGGAAACUGCCAUUGAUACUAUAGGUCUUGAAUCAUCUGGAGGUAAGCGGAAUAUGUCAUGUAGCGGUGAAAUGCUUAGAUAUGACAUAGAACACCAAUUGCGAAGGCAGCUUACUACGGGUGUAUUGACACUGAGGCACGAAAGCGUGGGGAUCAAACAGGAUUAGAUACCCUGGUAGUCCACGCCCUAAACGAUGGAUACUCGACAUCAGCGAUACACUGUUGGUGUCUGAGCGAAAGCAUUAAGUAUCCCACCUGGGAAGUCGACCGCAAGGUUGAAACGUUAAAGGAAAUUGACGGCUGAGAGNGCGACGACGACGACGAGGGAGGAGG